UACGGAGGAGGCAAGCGUUAUCCGGAAUUAUUGGGCGUAAAGCGUCCGUAGGUGGUGGACCAAGUCUGCUGUCAAAGGGUGGGGCUUAACCUCAUAAAGGCAGUGGAAACUGGAGAGCUAGAGUGCGGUAGGGGUAAGGGGAAUUCCCAGUGUAGCGGUGAAAUGCGUAGAGAUUGGGAAGAACAUCGGUGGCGAAAGCGCCUUGCUGGGCCUGCACUGACACUGAGGGACGACAGCUAGGGGAGCGAAAGGG
This 253-nucleotide ribosomal RNA is filed under the name uncultured bacterium. RNAcentral's name for it is "partial 16S ribosomal RNA". It matches the Rfam family "Bacterial small subunit ribosomal RNA", at positions 524 to 776 of the family's 1533-position model. The record is from RNAcentral.